CCAAUAGCGUAUAUUAAAGUUGUUGCAGUUAAAAAGCUCGUAGUUGAACUUCGGGGUCUACCCAUUGGUCAGGCUUAAUUGUCUGCACUGGUGAGAUGGACCUCUACCUUCUGAGGAACUUUCAUGCCAUUUAUUUAGUGUGAUUGGAAAUCAGGACUGUUACUUUGAAAAAAUUAGAGUGUUUAAAGCAGACUAUCGUCUGAAUACAUUAGCAUAGAAUAAUGAAAUAGGACGGACUGAUUCUAUUUCGUUGGUUUCUAGGAUCACCGUAAUGAUUAAUAGGGAUAGUUGGGGGCAUUAGUAUUCAAUUGUCAGAGGUGAAAUUCUUGGAUUUAUUGAAGACUAACUACUGCGAAAGCAUUUGCCAAGGAUGUUUUCAUUAAUCAAGAACGAAAGUUAGGGGAUCGAAGACGAUCAGAUACCGUCGUAGUCUUAACCAUAAACUAUGCCGACUAGGGAUCGGAUGAUGUUAAUUUUUUAAUGACUCAUUCGGCGCCUUACG
RNAcentral lists this ribosomal RNA (502 nucleotides) under uncultured Glomeromycotina. RNAcentral's name for it is "partial small subunit ribosomal RNA". It matches the Rfam family "Eukaryotic small subunit ribosomal RNA", at positions 591 to 1092 of the family's 1831-position model. Lineage: Eukaryota; Fungi; Glomeromycota. The record is from RNAcentral.